Gallus gallus (chicken) is the source of this 3544-nucleotide long non-coding RNA. RefSeq lists it as uncharacterized. The record is from RefSeq and is a predicted model, not a curated record. The transcript has 3 exons. NCBI's taxonomy places the organism in Eukaryota, Metazoa, Chordata, Aves, Galliformes, Phasianidae.
AGGACGAGCUCCCAUCGAGGCACACUCACACGCACACAAAGAGCCCGGCGCGGCGGGGCUGCGUUGCGAUCAGUCAAAAGAAAACAAGCAUCGCGCCGCUCCAAUCAAACGCACACGCACGGCUUUCCUGGCCUCGCGCGGUGCUUAGGAACAGCCCCGGAGCAACUCGACGGGUGCUACGAGCACUCUUUGGCUCCUCAACGCGCCUCUCUUUUUUUUUUUCCCCUUUCCCUGUUAUUUCUUUCCAAAGCAGCACAGAAAACCCACUCCGCUGUGAGCGGCCGCCUUCCCCUCCGCCCCAGCGCCGUGUUGGCUCAGGAUGAGCCGAUCCUUUUACUUCCACUCCCGCAGAAGAGGGUGCUAAAGUUCAAGCCCAGCGGCGCCGCGCUCCCGUCCUCACCCUUUGGGGAACAGCCGCUGUGUCCUUUUCUCACCGUCCUCUCCCGAAGAAUUUCUCGACCAGCCCACACCACCAUGGCUUUUUUUUCCCCCUCCUUUUCUCUUCUCUUCUCUUCUCUUUUCUUUUCUUUUCUUUUCUUUUCUUUUCUUUUCUUUUCUUUUCUUUUCUUUUCUUUUCUUUUCUUUUCUUUUCUUUCCUUCUCUCUUUUCCCAAAGUCUUUCCCGGUCUGGAAACUCAGCGCUGUGGGGAGGGCAGAAGGGCUGCGCAGAGACGCAUAGGGGGUGAGGGGAGGGGGACGCAGCCUCCGAGGGACGCUGUGAGUCCACACAUCUGCCCGGACCGCGGGCGCAGCGUCCAGGUUUAUGGGGAGCCGCAAGCUCGGCCCCUCCCCGUUCGCUCAGCGACUCCGGGAAAAAGCUGGGAAAACCCAAAGCGUGCGGGGUCCUAAGCGGGGCUGCCCGCCUCUCCACGGCACGGCCCCUGCGGUGCGAUGCUCAGCCCCGACCCGCAGCCCCCAGCACCCAUCCGGCCCCAUGCGGGUAGCGAGAGGGCGAAGGAGAGCUGCAGAAACUUGUUGGGACGUCUCCAGUGUUAAGCAGGCCACUGCAGGGCGUGCUGAUAAUUGUGGUCUGCAUCCAUGAGGGAUCAGGACAGCACUGUGCAUGGCACGCACCUCUCUCCUCAACCUUCCUUACGGCAGGACUUGGCACAGGACAGGGGGCUUGGAAGCACACACUGCUCACAGCACACAGCAGAUCCAGGAACAUCCCAGCAGAAGAAUACCAGAAGAGCCAUGGAACAGCUGCCCUAGAGAUGCUGUGUGAAGCACCCUGAUGAUCUUGCCUAUAAUGAGGGUCAGAUUCAUGGUUGGGGCCAGCAAUCUGAUGCUAAGACCCACCAGAGUCACCUGCUGGCCGUGACAAUGCUCCUGUUCCCAGACAGACAACCCACCCCUUGGAUCUGGCAGAUGCAGGAUGAGCAGUUGGAGGCAGAAACUUCUUCGGUCAAACAACUGGGACUACUCAGUAUCCUGACCCCAUAGAUUCUGUAUCCCUACAGAUCCAGACCCCAUAGAUGCUGUAUACUACGCCAGCAUCCCUAAGGAUCACAAUGGCUCUUUGCUUUGUUUCAUGCUGCCUUCAUUCCCCAAAGCAGCAAUAGGCAGAAUCAGCCCCAUGCCUGAAAAUUGCACCCAGCUUAGCAGCACCAGAUAAAAAUGCCCAUGCAUGGCAGAGGAUAUGUUCCUCAGGGCUACAUCACAAUAAUGCUUCAGACUUGUAAGUGGACAAAUACAUAAAAAACGAUACUUGUAGCUUCAUGAACAGAGAGCAGAGAAGUGUCCCUGCAAGCCCAAGGGUCCAGCAGACGUGCUUAGAGACUGUUAGCUUCCAUAGGGCACAGAGAAGGAAUGACGGCGCUGUGCAGCUGCUAGCAGCUCCCCAAGCCCGGGUUUGGCCAGGGCACAAACAGUCAUUCAGAAUGGAAUAGGUGUGGAUAAGUUUUACCCCAAGCAAUAAGCAAAUAGCAUGUGAAAGUGGCAGCAAGCAAAGCUCUCAGUGAGGCUGAGGGCACGGGAGCGGGCUGUGUGGUUAUUAGCAGACUGAGCUGGCUACUAAAUCACAGCCAUGUUAUCCCCUGUCUGGAUUUGACACUUCUUCCUCCGAUCUAUUCGUGACUCAGUGUCUUGGCAUGGAAAACGCAUACCCAAGAGGUUAGCUUCUGAAAUCCACCAGGGACAUUUCACCUUCCUAAAAUAAAGAGUGGGCAAAAUACUUCCAACGUCCCUCCAAAUAAAAAAAAAGGCAGAAAAAAGAAAUCACUCCUUAAUAAACGUACGGUGUUGGGUCUCAGCUGGCUUCGGGCUGAGGUCAAUUUUCCUAUUUAUAAUCAUGCAGCUGUUUGCUGACUGAAUAACUGUAUUUAUUAUUUGGCAUGUUUACCAAACGCCUCAAAUACCUUCUCUACCUGUAAUUGUGGUACAGAGUAUAUAUAUAUUUUUUUCAGAUUAGUUCAUUCAAGUGGCUUGUGUUAUUACCAGGCCCUGCACCGUGGUUUCCUAAGGGUAUUCAUGGCUUGAAGGUAUAAAACUUUGGACUUGGGUGACCCUGCACUGUAGCAGACACUUGAGGAACAAAUGGAGUGUGUUUUUAAAGUCGUUUGUCCGCGGGCACUCCAGGCUUUAACAUUAAGAAACGUGUAGAUGUGGUACUUAGGGACACAGUUUAGCAGGCAGUAGGUGGACAGUUGGACUGGAUGGCCUCAGAGGUCUUUUCCAAACUUAAUGAUUCUACGAUCCUAUACUCUACUUGCCUUUCUUCUAGAAGCACCUUCUGAACAUGUUUUCUCUCCAUCUACGUUCAACUCUAUCUUCUUCCUUUCCACAUUCUACUGGAAUUGACCAAAACCAAAUCCAACCCCUUUUUCAUGUGGCAUUAGUUGGGAGAGCUUUGUUGCCUUGGAGAGCUCCUCUUCUUUCUGCCCAAAGCAUGGGCACUCCUUCCUUCAUCAGUACAAUCUUGUGUACCAUGGAGUAUGCAGAGGUAGAGGUGGAAGGGGUUGGGUUGGUUUUCCCAUCUCCAGAGGCCCCUGAAGUCAUCUUCUCCAGGCAUUUGCUCCAGGCUGCAUUAGCUCUAUAUGCUCUGUCCUCGUCAGUCCACCAUGGGACUCAUGCUUCAGGGCUUUCUGCCCCACCACGCUUUCCUUACCUAUUUCUUCCCCUCCUUAGCUGGAGAAUUGGGUCUCCAAAGCAGAUGCUGGCUGAUAAGCCUCAUGCCUUUGUGCGAGGUCAUCCCGGAGCAAGGGGACGCUGUCCUGGUCAGCCACAGCAUUACCCUUGCAGGGAUGCCUCAGCCACAUUUAGAGUGAGCUUCAAUGACCGCCUGUGCUGGGGAGGUCACCCCUUGAAAUGCCUAGCCAUGUCUGUGCUUCAUUUACAGGAGCUGUAAACCUGCCACCUGGCUGGUGGCUUUAUUGCUUUGGAUGUUGCUGGUGUCAAAGAAAUUUGGUGCAGGAGCCAGCUGGAGCACAGUCAGUUUUAUAUUUAAUCUUCGCUAUAAACGCAAAUAAAGGUUCUGUAUUUUGAGUGAGUGACAGACACACCAUGGUCAUUAUUAAACCUUCUAAAAAUAAACCUCUGCCGAAGUG